RNAcentral lists this ribosomal RNA (350 nucleotides) under uncultured bacterium. RNAcentral describes it as "bacterial SSU rRNA". It matches the Rfam family "Bacterial small subunit ribosomal RNA", at positions 100 to 439 of the family's 1533-position model. The record is from RNAcentral.
GACGGGUGAGUAACACGUGGGGAAUCUACCUUUUAGUGGGGAAUAACGCUCCGAAAGGAGUGGUAAUACCGCAUGAGACCUUCGGCUGGGAUGCUGGAGGUGAAACCUGGGGACCGCAAGGCCUGGGGCUAGAAGAGGAUCCUGCGUCUGAUUAGCUAGUUGGCGGGGUAAUGGCCCACCAAGGCGACGAUCAGUAGCCGGCCUGAGAGGGUGAUCGGCCACACUGGAACUGAGACACGGUCCAGACUCCUACGGGAGGCAGCAGUGGGGAAUUUUGCGCAAUGGACGAGAGUCUGACGCAGCAACGCCGCGUGGGUGAUGAAGGUCUUCGGACUGUAAAACCCUGUCGU